Herpailurus yagouaroundi (jaguarundi) is the source of this 273-nucleotide long non-coding RNA. RefSeq lists it as uncharacterized. The record is from RefSeq and is a predicted model, not a curated record. The transcript is spliced from 3 exons. Lineage: Eukaryota; Metazoa; Chordata; Mammalia; Carnivora; Felidae.
GUGGAAUGCUGAAGGCAGCGUCCUACCUUCUCCUGAGCUCCACGCUUUCUUAUCUGUGCUCCCUGCUAAUCAAUUCACCAACAUGAAGCUCUUGGCGUUGCUGGUACUGGUGGCCGUUUCCACCUUCCUGGUUUCAGGCCAGACAACUGGCGCUGCAAGUGAUAGCUCUACUGCUGCUGCCACCACAGCUGCCGCCACCACAGCUGCCGCCACCACUGCAGCUGCCACCACUGCUGCUCCUGCCACCACUCCAAAGGGUAAGCCACUCAUCUC